ACCACACUGCAAACAACACGUUCUGAUAUAGCCACAUAGAUUCGAGAUAUAAUUAUGAGAGAUGAAAAAAAGAACGUUGAAAAGUUUACUUUUAUUUCACAAGUGCGCAGCACACCAGGUUCUAAAAUCCCAUACCAAUCGCGAACCAAUGCCGAAUAAGCUCUUUCCUUCCGAAGAAGCAGCAUCCACCAGACUUUGAAAGCCCGGCAAUGAUCGUCUAGCAUACCGCAAGCAUUUGGAUACCGGUGAUCAUCACUGACCGAAUCUCUCUGCUCUCGUCAAACUUGGAGCAUAUUCUCGCACAUUCAUUCUUUCCUCAUAAACAACAUGGAAUGGACGAUACGACUUGUUGCCUUCUAUCAUCACUUACAAACAUCCAAUGUGCGCUGACAAUUACCUACUUAGGAAAUAAAACAGUCAUUACCAACAACCAUGUUUGCUUUCUCCGUAUUCUUCUCUUUGUGCAACUGUCUGUUGGCACAGCUUUCCUAAUUUCCACAUUAACACUUGGUUGUUAUUGCACCAUAAA
Molecule: long non-coding RNA, 529 nt
Organism: Aedes aegypti (yellow fever mosquito)
Lineage: Eukaryota; Metazoa; Arthropoda; Insecta; Diptera; Culicidae
Exons: 2
Source: RefSeq, a predicted model, not a curated record